Molecule: long non-coding RNA, 1666 nt
Filed under: Volvox carteri
Lineage: Eukaryota; Viridiplantae; Chlorophyta; Chlorophyceae; Chlamydomonadales; Volvocaceae
Description: long non-coding RNA (VCAR_LNC002959)
Source: RNAcentral
UGAGUUUUUGUGGCUGCGGGCUUUACGAUUUACAGCUCCAUCAUGUGUUGCGGCGCGUUGCGUUUGUAGCUGCAUUGUAUUUCUUGAAGGACAAUUGUCGCAAACCUGCCAUAUUGAUGUGUUAAUACGGUGAUGGUGAGAGCUCAUCAGUACAUUUUGCCCGAGGGGAGGAUUGAUUUGGUUUUGGUCUUGGUAAGGAAGGGGGCACCAAAGUCCUCUGGCUGAUGAUGCCGCAUGGCACGCAAUACGCGUCCAUCUUUGUUGCCGUACGGUAGAUUGUUCCUGGCGUUCCAGAAUGCUAACGUGGCAGCGUGGGGGUUUUGGACGUGCCAGCUUAAUUUGUUCGCUCCGGGAAUGGAAUGAAGAUGGAGAGAGAGAGGGGAUGGAGAUGAUUUGCCCUUCAGCUCGAGUAGGGCAAUAUACAUGAUGGCCGCUGACCGGUUAGUGGGCAGACCGGUUGUAAAUAUUCCUGCCUUAUCAGUGGUUUGCGAAUGAUUACGAGCAUACGUUGGGUCUGCGCAGAAAAAGACGACAGUUAUCGGUGCAUUACCAUGUUCCUGCCAGGGACGACUCCUCGGCCAGGAAUUACGCGCCAGGGAUGCUUACGUACGCGUUUGGUGCAAGGGUUUUAAUGCAUUGCCAGCCCUUUCAGUUAUUCGUCAUCGGUUGAGGCUAAGUUUCAACCCCCCCUUGCAUGUCGCCGACGCCAAGUAACGAUGUGUCACUAUACGCAUUCCUAAAGGGGUCCUUAUCCUUUCAGCUUACCGCGCUAAGUCAUAAACGCGAUCCGGGAAUGGGCAUGAAGCCCCCCAAAGCUCCUACCCUAAAUAGCACAAGGUCCAAGCGACUCUGGCAGAUACACUCCAAGACGACAGGCAUCCUUCAUACUACCAGAUCUGCCCAAUACACUGACUUCAACCUAAAAGCAAACGGCCUCAGUGGCCCUCCGCAAGCUUGUAUCGCUCAAGCUGAUGUUUGUAAGAUUCCCACAUACACAUUGACUCAAGCAUCUGCCGAACCUGGUCGACAAGUUGUUUGAGUACUUCGUUUUUCAUGGAUAUCUCUGCCUGCUUCUGCGCAGCGCAGCUGGCAGGGCCAUUUGCGGCAUCCGGCGUGUCCACAAUGCUGCCUUGGCCUUCUGCGUGCGAACAGGUUUUAAUGUUGUGCACUUGCUGUACAAUAAUGCGUCGAUACUUGAUUUCAAAAUCUUCGUGACCACCUCGUGAAUUAACAGAACAACGGUUUCCUCACCGUGGCCGCCUUCGCUAAUGAUAUGGGCGGCUAGGGAGCUGCAUUCCAGUGUUGUUCUACGAAGCACCGACAUCGCUUGUAAGUAUUGCUGCUGAAGAGCAGCCUGUCGUGGCAACGCAUCGUUUGGGUCGCCAAAGCCCAAAUCGGCAAAUAUCUGCCUCACAGUUGCUAUCACGUUCUGCAAUUGGAGAAGACCCUCUGCCGCAAGGUCGUUCAAUUGCCCAAGCUGAUUUGUCGCACGCAAUGCCAUUUCAUAAACAACUAAUGCAAGUCAGCCAAGGCUAAUGACGUUUGUCUUUCCGACCUAUACAAGAGCGCAGCAAUUCUAGUGCAUUGUACGAAUGUAAGUACGGCAUCGAUAGGAAGCCACUUGACCCUGUUUUCUGCUAUCCUCGAUUCCUUGCUUUCGAUUGGC